This 1839-nucleotide long non-coding RNA is filed under the name Salmo salar (Atlantic salmon). RNAcentral describes it as "lncRNA (ENSSSAG00000115772.1, ENSSSAG00075057345.1)". The record is from RNAcentral. Lineage: Eukaryota; Metazoa; Chordata; Actinopteri; Salmoniformes; Salmonidae.
UCCUUUUUUCUUCAAAUUGCUCACAUUUUUGUACAAGCCAAAAAUAUCUGCCAUUGUAAUUAUAUUCAUGCAAAAUAUUCAGUGUUUUCACAUUUUAAUGAAAAAUAAAAAGGAUUUGCUGAACUUUUUUCCUUCUUCUGAAGUGCACUCUUGGAUUAUUAUGAUAACUGUAAUUAGCAAAUUAAGAUGUGCACUUUGUGCCAAUACACAAUAUUUAAGCAAGUAAAACAAAAUUAAGGCCAUUCCAACUUGUGCUAAAAAAUAAUAAAAAUACCUAAAUAAAAAAGUUUCAAUUUUUGUGUACAGUUCAGUUCAUGACUGGUUAUUUCUGUCCAUCUCUAUCACUGGUUGGUGAGUGCGUCACCAUAACCAGGGCAUCUGAUAUAUAAAAAAUACAAUAAACAGAAUCAAACAGCUGUUGUUAUCAGCAAUUACUAACAAAUCAUAACAUGCUAGUUGAAUUUCAUACUUUUAAAAUGUUCAUAUUGCACUGUCCUAUAUGCCAAAUAUUAUAUGAACUUCCUUCAUUGUCAAUAAUAUUUGACAUUAUGAUAGGUCAGGUUGAUAUGAAGGGUAGGAAGUCCAGCUGUCCAAUGGAGGUUUCCCCAUCACUGGACAUUCUAACCACUUCCAUACUUUGAACAUUGAUCUGCUGAGCAAUUAAGUUAAACAUACAAUUCUUGUUCUAGAAUGUGUCAGUGUUCUAGAAUACGUUAGACCUUGUUGAAGUUGUCUAUUCAGAGCAGUAAGUGUCAUUUCCAUCUGGAAUAACAUAAUAAACAAAGUAAGCCUUGUCCGAGCCCCUGCCCCUUGUCCCGUAGGGCAGGAGCCUAUCAGGGUCAGGGUAAAUUCCAGAAAUUCAAUUCCAAUUCAAUUCCUUCUUCCUAUUCAUUUCCCAUGUAUUCAAUUCAAAUUCCAGGACAAGCCUCAAUUGAAUUAAAAUUCAAUUUAAAUUGGAAUUGACCCCAACCCUGGAGCCUAUCUCCUGUUUCUGUAGCAUGAGGCAGCUUGAUGUACAAGUACACGCCCUGGACAGGUCACUAGUAAUAAUGCACCUUAAUAAGCAAUUGGUUACAAUAAAUCCAUAUAGCAUUUUCCCAAGUGCAGUGAUCGUUCACAUGGUCAGGGCAGAGUUCAAUCCAUGACUAUUGAAUGGAUAAGUGAAUAUCAUGGUGGUUGAUUGGAGGUAUAUGAUAUGAUUAGUUGCUAGUUUGUUGCAUAUUCAACACUGGAUAACAUUUUAUUUAAUGGAUAGUUUUGUCUGAGGAAGUCAAAACUGAGGAAAGAUUCAUGGUCAAAAUCUGUGCUGAAAUAUUGUGGCCUACAAAUAACUAUCAAAUGUUUUGUCACUUUCAAAACAUAUUGAUUACUGUGCUGAUGUUUUACAUGGCCAAUACGUUUUAACUCCCUUUUAGCAAUUCACUUUUAUAAAUGCAGUUUUGGGUAAAGCAUAACAUUAUACAUGUUGAAAGUUAAUUUGCUGGGAUAAAAAUAAUACUAAUAGAAAAACAUAGCCCUUCAAAUCAAUUUACCCAUCGACCGUGUCUGUUGAAAACACACCAAUAUGUUUUUGACAAAUACUGCCUUGAAGGUAAUAUGAAUUACCGGAAGAUAAUAUAUAUUUUAAGAAAUAGUUGACCGAAAUGUUAAAUAUUGUGCAAGUCCAUCAAGCCUUAAACAUCAAACCACCUCAAACUAUCAUUAACACAUGCUGAAAUCUAUGACCUGUUAAAGUAACGGAUUACACUUUUCAAGAAGAAAAAAAAACAGGGAUGAAGAAGCUGAAAAAGUUUCAUAUCAAAAUAUAUUAUAUUGUUAAUUGAAUAGCAUCAUAUUACC